AGUGAACGCUGGCGGCAGGCCUAACACAUGCAAGUCGAACGGCAGCACAGGGGAGCUUGCUCCCUGGGUGGCGAGUGGCGGACGGGUGAGGAAUACAUCGGAAUCUACCCUGUCGUGGGGGAUAACGUAGGGAAACUUACGCUAAUACCGCAUACGACCUCCGGGUGAAAGCAGGGGAUCGCAAGACCUUGCGCGAUUGGAUGAGCCGAUGUCCGAUUAGCUAGUUGGCGGGGUAAAGGCCCACCAAGGCGACGAUCGGUAGCUGGUCUGAGAGGAUGAUCAGCCACACUGGAACUGAGACACGGUCCAGACUCCUACGGGAGGCAGCAGUGGGGAAUAUUGGACAAUGGGCGAAAGCCUGAUCCAGCCAUGCCGCGUGGGUGAAGAAGGCCUUCGGGUUGUAAAGCCCUUUUGUUGGGAAAGAAAAACUUUCCGGUUAAUACCCGGAGAGAAUGACGGUACCCAAAGAAUAAGCACCGGCUAACUUCGUG
Molecule: ribosomal RNA, 491 nt
Filed under: uncultured bacterium
Lineage: Bacteria
Description: partial 16S ribosomal RNA
Rfam family: Bacterial small subunit ribosomal RNA
Source: RNAcentral